Molecule: transfer RNA, 69 nt
Filed under: Albula goreensis
Lineage: Eukaryota; Metazoa; Chordata; Actinopteri; Albuliformes; Albulidae
Description: tRNA-OTHER
Source: RNAcentral
UAGCCUGUAGUCUAGUGGAUAAGAUACAGGACUGGGACCCUGAGAUUGGUGGUUCAAGCCCUAGUCUAG